GGUUGGACGGCACUUGUUGCAAGAAACGGAACCAUCUUCUCCACAGUUUUCACUAGAUUCAUGCCGUUUCUUAGAGCUAGGCUUGCCGUUUUUGUCAUAAAGAGGUGUUGGCAGGUGCUUCGGAGUCUCUUUCUUAUCCACAGAGUCAGUAGGUGUCGCCUUCAUUUGGCUUCUUCCUUCACUGCCUUCAUCUUCUUGUUCUUCUCUAUCACAUUCUUGAAUCUGUCAAAAACAAAUUUAAAAAAUAAAAGUCAAUAAUGAAAAAGAAAAAUUCUUCAACCUUUUCUUUUAACUUGGCAUAAAGUUUUUUUUUUCUCAGGAAACAAACAGGUGUCUACUGUGUGCUUACGGGAGUGAAAUGAGGGGAGUGGUGAGAUGGAUGUGGAGCAGAAGGAAAAGAAGAGGA
RNAcentral lists this long non-coding RNA (406 nucleotides) under Manihot esculenta (cassava). Its description in RNAcentral is "long non-coding RNA (MESC_LNC000766)". The record is from RNAcentral. Lineage: Eukaryota; Viridiplantae; Streptophyta; Magnoliopsida; Malpighiales; Euphorbiaceae.